Long non-coding RNA from Cryptomeria japonica (Japanese cedar), 369 nucleotides. RefSeq lists it as uncharacterized. The record is from RefSeq and is a predicted model, not a curated record. The transcript has 4 exons. NCBI's taxonomy places the organism in Eukaryota, Viridiplantae, Streptophyta, Pinopsida, Cupressales, Cupressaceae.
AUGGUGUGAAGGCACGAUUUCUAUAGGAGCUUGAACCAAAGUGAACACUUUCAAGCUUGUGCCUCUCAUAGACAAGGGAGAAGAACCAGCCAAAUGUUGAUGCACAUGCUGCCCCACUAGAUUUGGAGAUUAUCUUUCAAAGAUAUGAAAAAGAUCUUAUGCAUCCACUUCAAAACCUUCUUGGAGGAGAGCUUGCUCGAGCCUUACUCAUUCAGGUGCAAAAAUUAAAGCUCGACAUUGAAACGGCAAUGCUUGAGCUGAAUCAGAUUCUCAGAGCAAAUGAAAUAAAUUUUGCAAUACUUGCUGCUUUGCCAGCAUUUUUUAUUACAAUCAUACUUGCAGCUCUUCUGCAGAUUUGGUUGGUGAAGG